UUCACUUUGUUCGUCUUAUGGCCAAGCUCUUGAUCUUCUUUUCUCAUGUUUAGGGGUUCGCAGGGUUCUAUGAGCUUCUUGGUUGUGAUAACAGCUUCUUCCUUGCUUCUCAAGUAAGAAAAAGGAGAAGAAGAAGAAGAAGAAGAAGACGGGACAGGGACACUGAGACUGUGAUUGUUGGUGUUCUUAGUGAAAUCAAAAGAUGUUUUUGGUGUUGAAGAAGAUGAUGGUGUUAAGAUCACCAUUGUUUUUUUUUUUUUGUGGGUUGCUUGAUUUUCUUCUUGUUUUUUUUUUCUUGCUUGUGUGUGAAUUAGAUUAAGGUAUAAAUAAGAAACAA
Molecule: long non-coding RNA, 337 nt
Filed under: Brassica napus (rape)
Lineage: Eukaryota; Viridiplantae; Streptophyta; Magnoliopsida; Brassicales; Brassicaceae
Description: long non-coding RNA (BNAP_LNC020362)
Source: RNAcentral